This 489-nucleotide ribosomal RNA is filed under the name Escherichia coli. Its description in RNAcentral is "partial 23S ribosomal RNA". It matches the Rfam family "Bacterial large subunit ribosomal RNA", at positions 444 to 934 of the family's 2925-position model. The record is from RNAcentral. Lineage: Bacteria; Pseudomonadati; Pseudomonadota; Gammaproteobacteria; Enterobacterales; Enterobacteriaceae.
AUGGGGGGACCAUCCUCCAAGGCUAAAUACUCCUGACUGACCGAUAGUGAACCAGUACCGUGAGGGAAAGGCGAAAAGAACCCCGGCGAGGGGAGUGAAAAAGAACCUGAAACCGUGUACGUACAAGCAGUGGGAGCACGCUUAGGCGUGUGACUGCGUACCUUUUGUAUAAUGGGUCAGCGACUUAUAUUCUGUAGCAAGGUUAACCGAAUAGGGGAGCCGAAGGGAAACCGAGUCUUAACUGGGCGUUAAGUUGCAGGGUAUAGACCCGAAACCCGGUGAUCUAGCCAUGGGCAGGUUGAAGGUUGGGUAACACUAACUGGAGGACCGAACCGACUAAUGUUGAAAAAUUAGCGGAUGACUUGUGGCUGGGGGUGAAAGGCCAAUCAAACCGGGAGAUAGCUGGUUCUCCCCGAAAGCUAUUUAGGUAGCGCCUCGUGAAUUCAUCUCCGGGGGUAGAGCACUGUUUCGGCAAGGGGGUCAUCCCGA